RNAcentral lists this ribosomal RNA (119 nucleotides) under Pogona vitticeps (central bearded dragon). Lineage: Eukaryota; Metazoa; Chordata; Lepidosauria; Squamata; Agamidae. The record is from RNAcentral.
UUUGAUCACCAUAUCUUCCUGAACACACCAGAUAUUGUCUGAUUUUGGAAGCUACAGAUGGUCAAUCCUGAUUAGAACUUGUAUGGAAAACUAUCAAGGAUGUCCAGGUAGGGUUGGGA